RNAcentral lists this ribosomal RNA (646 nucleotides) under Drosophila acanthoptera. RNAcentral's name for it is "partial 16S ribosomal RNA". Lineage: Eukaryota; Metazoa; Arthropoda; Insecta; Diptera; Drosophilidae. The record is from RNAcentral.
UUAGAUUUUAUUUAUUAAUUUAUGUUAUUUAUAUUUAAAAUAUUAAAAAUAAUUAUAAAAAAAAAAGUUUUAGUAUUGUUUAAAGAAAAAAUAAUUUUAAUAAUAGUUAAAUAGUAUUGUAAAAGAAAAUUGAAAUAAUUUGAAAAAUUUUUAUUUUAAAAGAAAAUUUAAUUUAUUGUACCUUGUGUAUCAGUGUUUAUUAAAUAAAUAAUAUUUAUAUAUAUUUUUCUCGAUUUUAAAAGAGUUAAUAUAAUAUAAAAGUUAAUGUAAUAAAAUUAUUUUUAAUAUUAUAUUAGAAAUGAAAUGUUAUUCGUUUUUAAAGGUAUCUAGUUUUUCAAGAAAUAAAUUUAAUUUAGAAGUUAUAGAUUUAUUUAGUUUUUUAAUUAAUUAAAUAAUUUAUAGUUUUAAUAUUUUAUGGGAUAAGCUAUAAAAUAAAUUUUUAAAAAUAAUAAAUAAAUUUAAUAAAUAUAUGCUUAGAAUUAGCAAUUAUUAAUAAUUAUGUUAUAAUUUAUUUUAUAAGAUAAUAUUAUUUAUUAAAUUUUAAAUAUUUAUUGAAAUAUUAAUUUUAAUAUAUAAAAUUAAAUAAUUAUGAUAAAAUUAGUAUAUAAUAAUGUAAAAUAAUUAAAAAUGGAAAGUUUAUAUAAAG